GAUGAACGCUGGCGGCGUGCCUAAUACAUGCAAGUCGAGCGAACGGACGAGAAGCUUGCUUCUCUGAUGUUAGCGGCGGACGGGUGAGUAACACGUGGAUAACCUACCUAUAAGACUGGGAUAACUUCGGGAAACCGUAGCUAAUACCGGAUAAUAUUUUGAACCGCAUGGUUCAAAAGUGAAAGACGGUCUUGCUGUCACUUAUAGAUGGAUCCGCGCUGCAUUAGCUAGUUGGUAAGGUAACGGCUUACCAAGGCAACGAUGCAUAGCCGACCUGAGAGGGGGAUCGGCCACACUGGAACUGAGACACGGUCCAGACUCCUACGGGAGGCAGCAGUAGGGAAUCGUCCGCAAUGGGCGAAAGCCUGACGGAGCAACGCCGCGUGAGUGAUGAAGGUCUUCGGAUCGUAAAACUCUGUUAUUAGGGAAGAACAUAUGUGUAAGUAACUGUGCACAUCUUGACGGUACCUAAUCAGAAAGCCACGGCUAACUACGUG
RNAcentral lists this ribosomal RNA (497 nucleotides) under uncultured bacterium. Its description in RNAcentral is "partial 16S ribosomal RNA". It matches the Rfam family "Bacterial small subunit ribosomal RNA", at positions 28 to 507 of the family's 1533-position model. The record is from RNAcentral.